GACGAACGCUGGCGGCGUGCUUAACACAUGCAAGUCGAGCGGUAAGGCCCUUUCGGGGGUACACGAGCGGCGAACGGGUGAGUAACACGUGGGUGACCUGCCCUCAGCUCUGGGAUAAGCCUGGGAAACCGGGUCUAAUACCGGAUAUGACUCCAUGACGCAUGUUGUGGGGUGAAAAGCCUUGUGCGGCUGAGGAUGGGCCCGCGGCCUAUCAGCUUGUUGGUGGGGUGAUGGCCUACCAAGGCGACGACGGGUAGCCGGCCUGAGAGGGCGACCGGCCACACUGGGACUGAGACACGGCCCAGACUCCUACGGGAGGCAGCAGUGGGGAAUCUUGCGCAAUGGGCGAAAGCCUGACGCAGCGACGCCGCGUGAGGGAUGACGGCCU
This 388-nucleotide ribosomal RNA is filed under the name uncultured bacterium. RNAcentral describes it as "bacterial SSU rRNA". It matches the Rfam family "Bacterial small subunit ribosomal RNA", at positions 28 to 417 of the family's 1533-position model. The record is from RNAcentral.